Long non-coding RNA from Rhagoletis pomonella (apple maggot), 748 nucleotides. RefSeq lists it as uncharacterized. Lineage: Eukaryota; Metazoa; Arthropoda; Insecta; Diptera; Tephritidae. The record is from RefSeq and is a predicted model, not a curated record. The transcript is spliced from 2 exons.
CGUCAAUUAACGAGUGACUUCUGCUGCUUGGUUACAGCUGUUCGGUUUGUUCAGUUGACAUUCGAGCGGUAAUCAAAGCUGACGAUAUCGCUUAAGUUUUAGUGAGUACAAAGUGAAUAAAUAUUAAAGUCGAUUGAGGUUUCUUCUCGGAGCGAUUCUACACGUAUUUUUUUUGGGGUUUUUGUUUCCCUUGCCGCCUAACUCAGUUCUGCGCUUCUUUGUUGCCAUUGGAGAGCGUGGUUAUGCCAACAGCUGAUGGAUAGUCGCUUCAGUUUUCACUUUCUGCUAAUUUAUGCUAAUUGGCGUUUUUGUUAGCCGGAACACGUUUCGAUUACUUUGGACAAAACAGUGGCGUUGUAUAAGUAAUACAGGUUUCUAGAAAAUUUAUAUUUUGUGCUUAAAAACAGACAUACAUUAUUAAUAAACAAAUUGGCCCGAAGUAAGAGUUGCAUAAUUUAUUGUUAAUUUAAAUCGCCAAAAUGCGCCUCCCAUCAUGCUUUGAAAGUGCUAAAAAACCGCAGCUGCUCAAAAAAUUGCCAAAAAUCAAAAUGUGUGAUGAAUUCGCCAUAAAACCGAUAUUCAUUCGCAAGCAACCUAAAUUUCCGACGCGUGAGCGCCACAUGGCUAUCCGUCGCAAAAAAUCGACGAUGACACCAAUGCGUGAUGGAUAUCAAAAUCUGAAUAGCCUCAACACCAGACAACAGCUUUGCCAAAACAAAACAAAAGAAAAUAAUAAAAACAUAACAAG